RNAcentral lists this long non-coding RNA (1102 nucleotides) under Parus major (Great Tit). Its description in RNAcentral is "lncRNA (ENSPMJG00000002123.1)". The record is from RNAcentral. Lineage: Eukaryota; Metazoa; Chordata; Aves; Passeriformes; Paridae.
UAAAAAUAAAUAUCAAUUAAAAAUAAAUAUCAAUUAAAAAUAAAUAUCAAAUAAAAAUAAAUAUCAAAUAAAAAUAAAUAUCAAACAAAAAUAAAUAUUAAAUAAAAAUAAAUAUAAAAUAAAAAUUAAAAUAAAUAAAUAUCAAAUAAAAAUAAAUAUCAAAUAAAAAUAAAUAUCAAAUAAAAUAAAAAUAAAUAAAUAUCAAAUAAAUAUCAAAUAAAAAUAAAAAAUAAAAAUAAAAAAUCCCAUUUUGGGAUUCACAAACUCCAGGGGAGGGGAGGAAGAUCCAAAAUUCCCAAAGAAGAAAAAAAUUCCCAAAGGAAAAAAAAAAUUCCCAAAGAAUAAAAAAUUCCCAAAGGAAAAAAAAAAUUCCCAAAGAAUAAAAAAUUCCCAAAGAAAAAAAUUCCCAAAGAAAAAAAUUCCCCAAAGAAUAAAAAAUUCCCAAAAAAAUUCCCGAAGGAAAAAAUUCCCAAAGGAAAAAAUUCCCGAAGGUUUUCCGUGGACAAGGAUUUUAAAAAAAUAUCUUUGAAACCAUCUGAGCUUAAAAAUAGACGCGAGUGAAGCUUAAAAUCCCACCCGGAGACGCCGGGAGAGCUCCGGACGAGUCCCUGGAGCGGCUCCGGAGCUUCCCCCGCUUCUGGAUGGUUCUGGAAGCCUUGGGGUGGAUCCAGAGGGGUCCUGGCAGCGGUUCUGGAGGUUCCUGGUGGUUCUGGAGAAGUUCCAGAGGUUCUGGAUGCCUUGGGAUGGAUCCAGAGAGGUCCUGGGAGAAGUUCCAGAGGUUCUGGAGAAGUUCUGGAGGUUCUGGAGAAGUUCCAGAGGGGUCCUGGGAGAAGUUCCGAAGGUUCCUGAUGGUUCUGGAGAAGUUCCGGAGGUUCUGGAGAAGUUCUGGAGGUUCUGGAGAAGUUCUGGAGGUUCUGGAGGCCAUGGGAUGGAUCCAGAGAGGUCCUGGGAGAAAUUCCAGAGGUUCUGGAGAAGUUCUGGAGGUUCUGGAGAAGUUCUGGAGGUUCUGGAGGCCGUGGGAUGGAUCCAGAGGGGUCCUGGCAGCGGUUCUGGAGGUUCCUGGUGGUUCUGGAGAAGUUCUGGAGGUUCUGGAGAAGUUCCG